CGAAAGCCUGAUCCAGCAACGCCGCGUGAGGGAUGACGGCCUUCGGGUUGUAAACCUCUUUCAGCAGGGACGAAGCGAAAGUGACGGUACCUGCAGAAGAAGGACCGGCCAACUACGUGCCAGCAGCCGCGGUAAUACGUAGGGUCCGAGCGUUGUCCGGAAUUAUUGGGCGUAAAGGGCUCGUAGGCGGUUUGUCGCGUCGGGAGUGAAAACUCAGGGCUCAACCCUGAGCGCGCUUCCGAUACGGGCAGACUAGAGGUAUGCAGGGGAGAACGGAAUUCCUGGUGUAGCGGUGGAAUGCGCAGAUAUCAGGAGGAACACCGGUGGCGAAGGCGGUUCUCUGGGCAUUACCUGACGCUGAGGAGCGAAAGCAUGGGGAGCGAACAGGAUUAGAUACCCUGGUAGUCCAUGCCGUAAACGUUGGGCGCUAGGUGUGGGGACCUUCCACGGUCUCCGUGCCGCAGCUAACGCAUUAAGCGCCCCGCCUGGGGAGUACGGCCGCAAGGCUAAAACUCAAAGGAAUUGACGGGGGCCCGCACAAGCGGCGGAGCAUGCUGAUUAAUUCGAUGCAACGCGAAGAACCUUACCUGGGUUUGACAUAUACCGGAAAGCUGCAGAGAUGUAGCCCCCUUUUGGUCGGUAUACAGGUGGUGCAUGGCUGUCGUCAGCUCGUGUCGUGAGAUGUUGGGUUAAGUCCCGCAACGAGCGCAACCCUCGUCCUAUGUUGCCAGCACGUAAUGGUGGGGACUCAUAGGAGACUGCCGGGGUCAACUCGGAGGAAGGUGGGGAUGACGUCAAGUCUUCAUGCCCCUUAUGUCCAGGGCUUCAAGCAUGCUACAAUGGCCGGUACAAAGGGCUGCGAAACCGCAAGGUGGAGCGAAUCCCAAAAAGCCGGUCUCAGUUCGGAUUGGGGUCUGCAACUCGACCCCAUGAAGUCGGAGUCGCUAGUAAUCGCAGAUCAGC
RNAcentral lists this ribosomal RNA (963 nucleotides) under uncultured bacterium. RNAcentral describes it as "bacterial SSU rRNA". It matches the Rfam family "Bacterial small subunit ribosomal RNA", at positions 376 to 1353 of the family's 1533-position model. The record is from RNAcentral.